CCUACGGGGGGCAGCAGUGAGGAAUAUUGGUCAAUGGUCGGGAGACUGAACCAGCCAAGCCGCGUGAGGGAUGAAGGUACAGAGUAUCGUAAACCUCUUUUGUCAGGGAACAAAGGCGGGGACGUGUCCCCGGAUGAGUGUACCUGAAGAAAAAGCAUCGGCUAACUCCGUGCCAGCAGCCGCGGUAAUACGGGGGAUGCGAGCGUUAUCCGGAUUUAUUGGGUUUUAAGGGUGCGCAGGCGGUCUGUUAAGUCAGCGGUAAAAGCCCGGGGCUCAACCCCGGCCCGCCGUUGAAACUGGCAGUCUCGAGUUGGAGAGAAGUAUGCGGAAUGCGCGGUGUAGCGGUGAAAUGCAUAGAUAUCGCGCAGAACUCCGAUUGCGAAGGCAGCAUGCCGGCUCCACACUGACGCUGAGGCACGAAAGCGUGGGUAUCGAACAGGAUUAGAUACCCCAGUAGUC
RNAcentral lists this ribosomal RNA (459 nucleotides) under uncultured bacterium. Its description in RNAcentral is "partial 16S ribosomal RNA". It matches the Rfam family "Bacterial small subunit ribosomal RNA", at positions 338 to 795 of the family's 1533-position model. The record is from RNAcentral.